This 465-nucleotide ribosomal RNA is filed under the name Vreelandella stevensii. RNAcentral's name for it is "partial 16S ribosomal RNA". It matches the Rfam family "Bacterial small subunit ribosomal RNA", at positions 338 to 795 of the family's 1533-position model. Lineage: Bacteria; Pseudomonadati; Pseudomonadota; Gammaproteobacteria; Oceanospirillales; Halomonadaceae. The record is from RNAcentral.
CCUACGGGAGGCAGCAGUGGGGAAUAUUGGACAAUGGGCGAAAGCCUGAUCCAGCCAUGCCGCGUGUGUGAAGAAGGCCUUCGGGUUGUAAAGCACUUUCAGUGGGGAAGAAAGCCUUGGGGCUAAUACCCUCGAGGAAGGACAUCACCCACAGAAGAAGCACCGGCUAACUCCGUGCCAGCAGCCGCGGUAAUACGGAGGGUGCGAGCGUUAAUCGGAAUUACUGGGCGUAAAGCGCGCGUAGGCGGUCUGAUAAGCCGGUUGUGAAAGCCCCGGGCUCAACCUGGGAACGGCAUCCGGAACUGUCAGGCUAGAGUGCAGGGGAGGAAGGUAGAAUUCCCGGUGUAGCGGUGAAAUGCGUAGAGAUCGGGAGGAAUACCAGUGGCGAAGGCGGCCUUCUGGACUGACACUGACGCUGAGGUGCGAAAGCGUGGGUAGCAAACAGGAUUAGAUACCCCUGUAGUC